Myiozetetes cayanensis is the source of this 4030-nucleotide long non-coding RNA. RefSeq lists it as uncharacterized. Lineage: Eukaryota; Metazoa; Chordata; Aves; Passeriformes; Tyrannidae. The transcript has 2 exons. The record is from RefSeq and is a predicted model, not a curated record.
AGGAAUAAAGGUAUCUGUAAGGUGUUAUGGGUCAAACAGUAUGACUUUGUCAAUACUAUAGCUUUACAAUCCAAGUACAUUUCAUUGUUUUACCGCUUGAGGUGAGGGCUGUUAUCACUAUAACUGGUAUUGCCUUGUUGCCACACCCUGUGCCAGCAGAUUGCCUAAACUGACACAGGAUGUGCACCUCCCUCUUGCUCCAACAGGGAUUGUACUGCUGUAACAUUUUCAACUCUGUUCAGUAGUAUUUUCCUAAGGGAAUCUUAACUAAAUGUCAAUGUGUUUAUUUACAUGUUAUUACUCUGGAAGCAUAUUGCUUUGUGAGUGCACAGCAGCUGAUAACAACAAGUAUUGCAGUUGUUUAUUGUAAGUAUUUUAAGUACUCAGCUCCACCAGAACUGUCAAUUGCUUUAUUAAUGGGCAGUUUUAUAAUAGAGAUCUGUUAAAAUACUGUUCCGCAAAACCUUUCUAAAACAACUUGAAUGAAUUAUUUUGUAGAAAACCAUUACUUUCCAAAUAUUUUUAGUAUUUUGAUACUAGUAGUAUUUCAGUAAACUGCGUUUUCUUUAAUUUAAAUAAUUUAUGUACACUGGAUAUUAAGAAUAUUCAGGCUCUUUAUUUGUGAAAGUAAUGAGGUGCCUCAAAAAGACACCCACUUGUACCUACCUAUAUACAGGUACCUACAGAAAUAUGUAAAAAUGUCUCUAAAUGCUGGCCUUCAGUUUCCAGCAGAUCUGGUCAUUGGUGUUCUUUAGAGUUUGUGUAUGCAAUGCAUGUUGGGUUAGAUACAUUACUGAGGGAAUGCACGGUCCACAUGUGCUGUUUAUAUGUAGUCAAUAUAAUUAUUUAUACCUCUUAUAAGUGUAAUUUUUUUCAAAAGAGAGGAAGAAUAAACUUGAUCAGGAUGUGAUGUCUUUAUAGAAAUGGAACUGCCAUUGUGUGUCCUGUCCUGUAGACAUGAGGACACUGGGUUUUUUUUAGAAAAAACAACCAAACUAUGUCCCAAGGUCACAUAGCUGUAGCCUAAGCAAAAAUCAUGUUUUGAACAUGCUUAAAAUCCUCCAGAAAAAUGUCUUGCAUAAGAAAAUAAUUUAAAAAUCUUCCACACAUUAAGAUCAUAACUUUUCUCCAAAAGCAAAUAUUAGAGACUUAGACUUACUGCAACUCAGUGUGAUCCAGUUUAAGAAAAAAUGUCAAUAUGGAUUAAAAGUCCUCCCCCUGCAGAGGGGAGAAGGCAACCAGUCCCUGCUGCUGCUGCUUCCAGAAUGUUUUCUAAUAUCCCUAGCUGCACAGUAGGACUAGGCUGGCAAGACAGACAGGGAAACUCUUGAAUGGCUGAUGUCUUCUUUUAGCAGAAGUGGUAGAUUCUUCCCAUCAUUGCCGAUUAUUUACUCACAUAGCACUCCUUGUUGACUUUCCAGUAGUCAACAUCCAUAUACGAUAACUGGAGACAAGAACAGACUAUGGAAAUGAAAAAAAUUAUCCACCUGCUCUCUGUGUAUCCAGUGGGUUGUUUCUUUAUGAUCCUAUGACUGUCUGCAAAUUCUUCUUAUGGGCAACUGGAUGCCUUUAUUGCCACCUCUGCUUGAAGACACCAAUUCAAGAACCCAAUUUAUGAAGAGUCUUGAACGUGUUUGGCAGAUUUCCUCAGCUGCUGUACUUUAAUGUGCAGUGGGAACCCUCUCUUUCUGGAAUUAUUCCUCGCUUCUCAUUUUUGUUUUUUGUUUUUCACUGUGUUUUCAUUUUGACUAAUUCUUUCUCAAAUAUGCACCAUUUGAUUGAUUUAAAAUUCAUAAGUACUGGAUUUAGGUUUCUUAGCAUGUAGGGUGCUUAAUGCCCUCAGCUGCAGUUUCCUAAAGUAACAUAAGGAAUUCAAAUACAGCGGUGACGAUGCUGCACAUUUUACAGAAUACAAAUAGGGGGUUUUAGGUUCUUAGAUCUCUUGCUGUGAAGUACCAGUAAUCCUGUGCUAGUCAACAUCUGUGCUGUCUGGAUGUAGCUGGCCUUGUUUUUUAUUUUUAUUCAGCUAGCAGAGAAGCAAUUAUUCCUGUGGCAACCAGAUCCUGCAGGGUUAAUGCUAUUUCUUUGAAGUUACUACUGCUAUUGCUUGCUACAUCUUUUUGUCGUCCUUUUUCAAAGUGUCUCCUGUUGCACGGAUUGUCAGUUUAAAGGAAUGCAAAAUGGGUUACCAGGAUAGGAAAAACUCUGCUGUUUUAAAGCCAUGAUAAAGCUCUCAUCUUACAAAUGAGUGUGAUAUACAGUGCACAUAAGUUGCACUGCAUAUCACAGUUUUUACUUUUACAGUUCUUAAUAACAGGCAAGUGUAAAACCGUUUCUAUCCAGAAUAUAAAACUAAUAAUAUUACAUGUUAAUAGCAAUACCUUUUUAAGUCAAGAGUACCGUUCUCAUAUUAGUUAAUUAGUUACACAGUGUCCCUUCAUUCACUGAGUUACUUUAUUUCACAUGGGAAUGGUUCAAAGCUGUGCCAGGGGAGGUUUAGGCUGGACAUUAGGAAGCAUUUCUUUGCCGAGAGGGUGGUCAAAUACCGGAACAGCUCGAUGUCCCAAGCCUGUUAGUGUUUAAGAGGCAUUUGGACAAUGCUCUUAGUAAUGUGCUUUAACUUUUGCUCAGCCUUGAAUAGGUCAGGCAGCUGGACUAGAAGAUCAUUUUAGGUCCAUUCCAGCUGAAAUAGUCUAUUCUAUUCCAUACCAUUCCAUUCCAUUCCAUUCCCAAAAUUGCCUUGCUCCACCCACCCUGAAAAAUAUGAAUAUAAUAGUAAGGAUAGUACCUUGGGUUUAGUAACAUCUGUUUGCAGUUUUGUUUUUCAAUGUACCAUAUUUAAAGCUUUCUAAAAAAAAUAAUUCAGUGGACAGCUGCUGCAGUUAAGGCACCUAAUUCUAAUAAUUCAUUACUUUCUAAAAGGUAUAAUUCAUCCUUUCAGUAAAAGUAGCUGGCUCAUUCAUUACUUGCCUUGCUGAAUCCCUCUUAUUUUUCACUUGUUAGUGAUCUGGAGUGAGAAGAUGUUUUGUACAUCCUCCUCUCUUUGUCUUUUGACAUUCAGAUAUCUGUGUAAAUAAGCAUAUUUAAGAGUCCCCAAAAACUUGCAUAGUCAAUAAAUGAAUGCCCUACAGAUUUUGGCUUCUCUGUCAUUUGGCUGUUUUGGAAAACUUCUCCCAUAAUGCUACAUCCCUUUCCAUUCUUUUCAGCAUUUCUUCUCAUAGUAUCUUUAAAUGCAGAAACUUUUUAAAGUGCUGACCUAAAUUAUCAAGAGUGAUCUUUAAUUUCCUAUGCCUCAGAAUUUAAGUGCUCAAAUUAAGAGUGAAUCUUGACUAGCUGGCUCUCUUCCCUUUGCUUUCUUGAAGCCUGUCAGUCUCCCUGCUACAGACUGAGAUACCCCAAAAUCACUUGGUGCUUUUGGCAACUUCAGGCAGUGGAUACUGAAGUUAAAGUGACAUUGUCUUAGAACUCCAUCACAAUUGCAGAUUGAAUGAAAGAAAGAGCACAGACACAAAAGAUACAGAGCUUUGAAUUUACAUGCACAUUAGAAAAUGUCUGAUCGCUUUUUUUUUUUCCCUCUGGCCAAGUUCUAUUUGCAAACUGAAAUACAGCAAGAUCAAUGCCAUGUGCAAAAACUUAAAUGGCAGCUUUUGAGAAAUUGCCCCAUUAACCUGAUGAGUUUCUAAUUACAGUAAGACAUAAGAGCUUUUUUUCCUCAUGCUAUGUAGGAUUUUGUCCUAACAGGUUUUUUUUUAAAGCUACCCUGCUGUUAAAAUAAUUUAACUGCAGUGUUUAAGUAUAAUUUGUCCUAUAUUUCUUUUUCUUUCUCUGAGGAGUUACAUAACUUUAUAAUUUCUAAUGAGGUUUCCUAAAUAUAAAUUGUGAUGUUAUAUUAUGCACCUGCUUUGGCUCCCAACCAAUUAAUUUGAAGUGGUUCAAGGCCAAAGAGAAGUCUAGGAUUACAUUCUAGCAUUCCUGGUGACAGGCUUGUUUAUGCACUUUUUUUUUUUUAAAUAAAUGGUUUAGUUGUUAA